GAUGAACGCUAGCGACAGGCUUAACACAUGCAAGUCGAGGGGCAGCGUGGUGUGGCAACACACUGACGGCGACCGGCGCACGGGUGAGUAACGCGUAUGCAACUUGCCUAUCAGAGGGGGAUAACCCGUCGAAAGACGGACUAAUACCGCAUGAAACAGGGGUCCCGCAUGGGGAUAUUUGUUAAAGAUUACAUCGCUGAUAGAUAGGCAUGCGUUCCAUUAGGUAGUUGGUGGGGCAACGGCCCACCAAGCCGACGAUGGAUAAGGGUUCUGAGAGGAAGGUCCCCCCACACUGGUACUGAGACACGGACCAGACUCCUACGGGAGGCAGCAGUGAGGAAUAUUGGGUCAAUGGGCGUGAGCCUGAACCAGCCAAGUCGCGUGAGGGAUGAAGGGCCCCUACGGGUUGUAAACCUCUUUUUAUAAGGGAAUAAAGGGACAUCACGUGUGGUGUUUUGCAUGUACCUUUACGAAAUAAGCAUCGGGCUAAACUCCGUG
Molecule: ribosomal RNA, 498 nt
Filed under: uncultured bacterium
Lineage: Bacteria
Description: bacterial SSU rRNA
Rfam family: Bacterial small subunit ribosomal RNA
Source: RNAcentral